UGGCUCAGUUGGUAGAGCAUGGUGUUUGCAACGCCAGGGUUGUGGGUUCAAAUCCCAC
Non-coding RNA from Salmo salar (Atlantic salmon), 58 nucleotides. NCBI's taxonomy places the organism in Eukaryota, Metazoa, Chordata, Actinopteri, Salmoniformes, Salmonidae. The record is from Rfam.